Molecule: ribosomal RNA, 464 nt
Filed under: Vreelandella stevensii
Lineage: Bacteria; Pseudomonadati; Pseudomonadota; Gammaproteobacteria; Oceanospirillales; Halomonadaceae
Description: partial 16S ribosomal RNA
Rfam family: Bacterial small subunit ribosomal RNA
Source: RNAcentral
CCUACGGGCGGCUGCAGUGGGGAAUAUUGGACAAUGGGCGAAAGCCUGAUCCAGCCAUGCCGCGUGUGUGAAGAAGGCCUUCGGGUUGUAAAGCACUUUCAGUGGGGAAGAAAGCCUUGGGGCUAAUACCCUCGAGGAAGGACAUCACCCACAGAAGAAGCACCGGCUAACUCCGUGCCAGCAGCCGCGGUAAUACGGAGGGUGCGAGCGUUAAUCGGAAUUACUGGGCGUAAAGCGCGCGUAGGCGGUCUGAUAAGCCGGUUGUGAAAGCCCCGGGCUCAACCUGGGAACGGCAUCCGGAACUGUCAGGCUAGAGUGCAGGAGAGGAAGGUAGAAUUCCCGGUGUAGCGGUGAAAUGCGUAGAGAUCGGGAGGAAUACCAGUGGCGAAGGCGGCCUUCUGGACUGACACUGACGCUGAGGUGCGAAAGCGUGGGUAGCAAACAGGAUUAGAUACCCUAGUAGC